This is a non-coding RNA of Schistosoma mattheei, 45 nucleotides long. The record is from Rfam. Lineage: Eukaryota; Metazoa; Platyhelminthes; Trematoda; Strigeidida; Schistosomatidae.
GUCCAGCUGACGAGUCCCAAAUAGGACGAAACGCGCGUCCUGGGU